CAGAACGACUCUCGGCAACGGAUAUCUCGGCUCUCGCAUCGAUGAAGAACGUAGCGAAAUGCGAUACGUGGUGUGAAUUGCAGAAUCCCGUGAACCAUCGAGUUUUUGAACGCAAGUUGCGCCCGAAGCCUUCAGGUUGAGGGCACGUCUGCCUGGG
This 157-nucleotide ribosomal RNA is filed under the name Garcinia livingstonei. RNAcentral describes it as "5.8S ribosomal RNA". It matches the Rfam family "5.8S ribosomal RNA". From Rfam's summary of the family: 5.8S ribosomal RNA (5.8S rRNA) is a component of the large subunit of the eukaryotic ribosome. It is transcribed by RNA polymerase I as part of the 45S precursor that also contains 18S and 28S rRNA. Functionally, it is thought that 5.8S rRNA may be involved in ribosome translocation. Lineage: Eukaryota; Viridiplantae; Streptophyta; Magnoliopsida; Malpighiales; Clusiaceae. RNAcentral also lists the same sequence under 2 other names. The record is from RNAcentral.